GUCGAGCGGACAGAAGGGAGCUUGCUCCCGGAUGUUAGCGGCGGACGGGUGAGUAACACGUGGGUAACCUGCCUGUAAGACUGGGAUAACUCCGGGAAACCGGAGCUAAUACCGGAUAGUUCCUUGAACCGCAUGGUUCAAGGAUGAAAGACGGUUUCGGCUGUCACUUACAGAUGGACCCGCGGCGCAUUAGCUAGUUGGUGAGGUAACGGCUCACCAAGGCGACGAUGCGUAGCCGACCUGAGAGGGUGAUCGGCCACACUGGGACUGAGACACGGCCCAGACUCCUACGGGAGGCAGCAGUAGGGAAUCUUCCGCAAUGGACGAAAGUCUGACGGAGCAACGCCGCGUGAGUGAUGAAGGUUUUCGGAUCGUAAAGCUCUGUUGUUAGGGAAGAACAAGUGCAAGAGUAACUGCUUGCACCUUGACGGUACCUAACCAGAAAGCCACGGCUAACUACGUGCCAGCAGCCGCGGUAAUACGUAGGUGGCAAGCGUUGUCCGGAAUUAUUGGGCGUAAAGGGCUCGCAGGCGGUUUCUUAAGUCUGAUGUGAAAGCCCCCGGCUCAACCGGGGAGGGUCAUUGGAAACUGGGAAACUUGAGUGCAGAAGAGGAGAGUGGAAUUCCACGUGUAGCGGUGAAAUGCGUAGAGAUGUGGAGGAACACCAGUGGCGAAGGCGACUCUCUGGUCUGUAACUGACGCUGAGGAGCGAAAGCGUGGGGAGCGAACAGGAUUAGAUACCCUGGUAGUCCACGCCGUAAACGAUGAGUGCUAAGUGUUAGGGGGUUUCCGCCCCUUAGUGCUGCAGCUAACGCAUUAAGCACUCCGCCUGGGGAGUACGGUCGCAAGACUGAAACUCAAAGGAAUUGACGGGGGCCCGCACAAGCGGUGGAGCAUGCGGUUUAAUUCGAAGCAACGCCGAGAACCUUACCAGGUCUUGACAUCCUCUGACAACCCUAGAGAUAGGGCUUUCCCUUCGGGGACAGAGUGACAGGUGGUGCAUGGUUGUCGUCAGCUCGUGUCGUGAGAUGUUGGGUUAAGUCCCGCAACGAGCGCAACCCUUGAUCUUAGUUGCCAGCAUUCAGUUGGGCACUCUAAGGUGACUGCCGGUGACAAACCGGAGGAAGGUGGGGAUGACGUCAAAUCAUCAUGCCCCUUAUGACCUGGGCUACACACGUGCUACAAUGGACAGAACAAAGGGCUGCGAGACCGCAAGGUUUAGCCAAUCCCACAAAUCUGUUCUCAGUUCGGAUCGCAGUCUGCAACUCGACUGCGUGAAGCUGGAAUCGCUAGUAAUCGCGGAUCAGCAUGCCGCGGUGAAUACGUUCCCGGGCCUUGUACACACCGCCCGUCACACCACGAGAGUUUGCAACACCCGAAGUCGGUGAGGUAACCUUUAUGGAGCCAGCC
This 1410-nucleotide ribosomal RNA is filed under the name Bacillus pumilus. RNAcentral describes it as "bacterial SSU rRNA". It matches the Rfam family "Bacterial small subunit ribosomal RNA". The record is from RNAcentral. Lineage: Bacteria; Bacillati; Bacillota; Bacilli; Caryophanales; Bacillaceae.